ACAUCGGGUGACGAGUUCCAACCGCCAUUUUGUUGAAAGCAAGGUGGGAAAAAGAAAGAUAGGACGUGCUGAUGGGCUUAGCGGAUUUUAAAUGUAAAUGAAAUUCGUUGACGACAGCCAAACUUGUAAAGAGUUGUCAACGUGCCUGCCACUUACACUUGCUAGUAAAAUAUGGCAAGGCAAAAAACUGGUCAAAGAAACGCCAUUUCGAUGCAUAACAGGUUAUUACAUUUCCCUUGACCUGAAGAACCAGAUUCUCACUACCAAUGUUUGGGUCGAACAUGAUUGGAUGGAUUCGAAACUAAAUUGGGAUCCGGACGAGUAUGGCGGCGUGGAGCAACUGAUCGUCCCGUCUGAACUUCUAUGGCUACCAGAUAUUCUUCUGUAUAACAACGCCGAUGGAGAAUACGUCGUGACUACAAUGACCAAAGCGAUACUUCACUUCGACGGCCACGUCAAAUGGAACCCUCCAGCUAUUUUUAAAUCGUAUUGCGAAAUUGACGUCGAGUGGUUCCCCUUUGACACGCAGACAUGCUUCUUGAAGUUUGGUCCCUGGUCUCACAACGGUCUACAGAUGGAUUUGAGACACAUCAACUCGUCAGACAACCUGGUGGAGAUUGGCAUCAACUUGAAGGACUACUACCCCAGCGUCGAAUGGGACAUAAUCAGCGUUCCGGCUGAACGUCACGAGAAAUUCUACGAGUGCUGCCCCAACGAGUUUUAUCCCGACAUCUUCUUCAAUAUGACCCUGCGCCGGAAAACUCUGUUUUACACAGUCAACUUGAUCAUCCCUUGCGUCGGCAUUUCCUGUCUGUCCGUGUUAGUGUUUUACCUUCCGGCCGAUUCGGGCGAAAAGGUGGCGCUGUGCAUCAGCAUCCUUUUGUCGCAGACCAUGUUCUUCUUGCUCAUUUCGGAGAUUAUCCCGUCCACGUCACUAGCCGUCCCCCUGCUGGGCAAAUACCUCCUUUUCACCAUGUUCCUCGUCGGCCUGUCCGUCCUCAUCACCAUCGUCAUUCUCAACAUGCAUUACCGCAAACCAUCCACGCACAAGAUGGCGCCAUGGGUACGGCGCAUUUUUAUCCAUCGGCUGCCAAAGAUCCUUCUCAUGCGGGUACCCAAACGAGUCAACGAGGAAGUCGAGGAACGAAUGAAGUACAUCGCCAAUAGGCGAUUAAAUUCAAAGGAUGGCAGAAGAUGGUCGAGACGAGUCAACUACGGUUCGCAAUUGCUUUGCGAAAUCAUCAACUUUAACAAUCUUCCACCGCCACCAUCGCCUCCCCCUCCGCCUCCACCACCACCGCCCGUCCCUGCCAACUUGCGUGACAUGGGACAAUUAGGACGUCGCAAACGCUAUCCGCUAGAGCUUCAAAAGGCUAUACGAGACGUCCAGUUUAUACGCAAUCACAUGAAACGACGUGACGAAUACGAUGCGGAGGACAAAGACUGGGGAUUUAUCGCCAUGGUACUGGAUAGGCUCUUCCUGUGGAUGUACACCAUCGCCUCGGUGAUCGGCUCAUUCGUCAUCUUGCUCACCGCUCCGGCCCUUUACGAUGACUCGAGUGACAUGGCCAUCAAGUACUCGCUCGUCGCCCAGCAACUUUACGGCAUCCCGGAUUUCUGAAUGGCCGCCUCUUACCCGACAAUGACUUUCAUCCUCACGCCAAAAAACGCAGCACGUCUCGCCCAGACGAUGUCGUAUAUUUUAGUAGGAAAGACUCGCAAUCAAAGUCAAAAACCAUCUUCAAGUCGUUCUCUUUUCUCUUGCUCUCUCCCUUUAAUUAGCUAUAGCUUAAAUAUAAAUAUAUAUAUAUACGGCUUCCAACACUUAAUGUGUUGUGAUCAAACGUACUGUAAUAAUCCCCAACUGGUAACUUUGGGAUGUUUUCUUUUACGUUUGUUUUUGUUUUUCUAAUUUUAUUUUUGUGACCAGAAAAGUCUUCCUACUCUCAACAAAACAGGCCAAGAAAAGAAAAACAGCGCAAACUUUUGAUGUGCGAGCUGACUUUCUAAUAGUCUUUCUCUCGUCGUGUAUCGUUCUUGGAAAUUCUCAAUUAACUUAGACGUGAACCUAUGGCCGGGUUGGGUAAAAGCCCAAAGUUUGAACGGUGUGAAUGAAAAUAAAUAGUCCGCAAAAGAACAACACAAAAGUAACUGACACUCUGCUCUUUAUUCCGUAAUGGAUGAAUCCUUCAUUUCUCACAGAGAGCAGCACACGAAAACUCUUAAGAGUCUUAAAAAUUACCAAAGGUUAAAGUAAUACGCUUCGUGACUGGAACGCUGUUAUUCGAUCCUUUGAUAUGAUCCUAGAUAUCCCGUCUUAUUUCCAGGAGUAAAGAAAAGAAAGUUUUAAUUUCAAGAAAGUUGCGUUUUAUACAUAGGAAAGUUUUUAUCGCAGAGCUGGGCAAUAUUUUAUGCAUGAAGGGACGACAUAACUUGUUUAAUGCCCACAACGUAUAAAAAUAGUUCACCGUGGGCUUCUCAUACAUAAAAUAUAAACAGCAAAGAUAAGUCGUGAAAGAUAAUGCCGUCAGAAAUUGGGCGGAGAUAGACGUAGAUGGGUAGCAGCACCGACGACAAAGUUUUCUUUUAAGACUCGCUCCGUCUGUUUCUCACAGUCAAGUUUAUUAUUUCUCCAGGCGAAAAAAAAAAAACGAUUGAACAACAAGAGAAAGUAAAAGAGAAAAUCGAGAAAAACAGAAAUUCAAGAAAAAAAAAAAAUAAAUAAUAAAUAGGAAGAUGUAUCAUAAAUGGAGCCGAAGCGGAAGAUUGGAUUUGUUUCUUUUUUGCCGGAAAAAGAAAACCAGACUUAAAAGACAGUGGCUGGGAAAAGAGAGAAGAAAAAAGGUUGGAUGUUUAUACCGUUGAAGGACAAAAGAACGCCGUUCCGAUUGAACAAGUGAGACAAAAAGAUCGUAAGUAAAAUGGAUGUGUACAUAUAACGGAAGAAAGAAACGCUGGAUCAACUGCGUUUUCAUGAUGCUGGAAAAAAAAAAGAGAGAAGAAAAAAUGGAUGCUGCGUUUUUCAAAUAGACAAUUUAGUUGCCGUCGGCGCUACUGGAAAAUAGGCAUGAGAUAGCUGAUCCAGCGGAAUGGUCUCGUCGUAGAGCGAUGGCGCUUCAAAGAUGAUGGCUGCCGUGCCGACAAAACAGGCGACGAUGAAGAUCCAGAGGAAGAAACGAUCCAAAACCAUAGCCACAAAUUUCCAGUCUUCAAUCACCUCAAUCUCCCUGUCAGUGUCUUUCGUGUGUUUGGCAAUGAACUGGAUGCUUCUCAGCGCACAGCUGACAUCUGGCGGCAAUAGAUCAUCAUCGCCAUAAGUUAAAGGGCCGAAAUCUAGCACAAACCAGAAAACAAUUCACACUUCGAAGCUGAGAAUUAAAAGAAAAACUAAAUUCGUACUGUGAUAAAUCGGUUGCCUGGGCUGAUUGCUUGAAGCGUAACUGCCAUAGGUGGAAGAACGAAGUUCAAACGUUGCUGUGAUAUCGUUAGUCGGAACAGUUUCUCCAGGGAUCUCCGACGGGCAUGAAGGAUUCUUACGAUAAGUAUGAGCAUAAAUGUACGGUGUCGAAUCGUUCCUGUUUUCGCAGACGACACAAACGUGAAACGCUUGAACCAAUCGGGGAAAAAACACAAAAACAAUUGAAUCGUGUACCUGCCGAAGUCGAUGCCGUUGUAGAAUUGAUUCUUCUUCUUUCUCUCGUCACCACAACUUCCCUGGCAAAGGGAGACAUGUGAUGCGUAGCAGGCGACCUGGAAACCCCGCCCAGGAAAGAGAAAGAAAAUCGAUAGCAGACAGCUUUUUUGUUGUUUCGCUUGGCGGUUUCAGUGAAAAACUACCGAAAAUGGACGUUGAGAACACAAACAGUGACGAUAAUGGAGACUGUCACCAGGAUCAUGGUGAAAAGGAGAUAUUUGCCCAGUAAGGGCACGGCCAGUGACGUGGGAGGAAUAAUUUCAGCCAGCAGGAGGAAGAAGACAGUCAGCGAGACGAGAAUUGAAAUGCACAGGGUGACCUUUUCACCGGAAUCGGAUGGCAGGCAUUUGAAUUACUUGCCUGGAUAAGGUUCUUCGCAGCAAGGAUAUCUUUCUUCAUUCUUCCUGGCUGGAACAUCGAGAAUGUCCCAUUCGACCGAUGGGUAGAAUUCAGUUAAAUUGAUACCAGUAACGAUGUUGGCCGAGACGACAUCGAUUCCACUGUCACCCUCUUGCAUCAUGUGCAUCAAAUCAACCUAAAAAGGAUAAGUUAAUGUUUAAUUGAUAAUUUCUUAAAAGAAGAAUGCUGGACAUCACUUCGUGGCCGUCGUAAGUCCACGAUCCGAAUUUCAUGAGGCAACUCUGCUUGUCGAAUGGAAACCAUUCGACAUCCAUCUCGCAGCUGGACUUGUAGAUGGCCGGUGGAUUCCAGUUGACCAGACCCGUAUGAUGGACAGUAGCUUUGGAAUGAUGAAACGUGAACGACUCACUUGUUGUACAAGACAAUGUCGGGCAACCAGAUGUUUUCAGCUGGUACGUAGAGCAUUUCCACAUCCUCGUAAUCGGCUGGAUCCCACACCAGACGAUAGUCGGUCCAUUUCUGCUUGCAUCGAACGUGAGCUUCAGAGAACUACGUCCUCGACGACUGAUCUCCCAGCUGGAUGUCGGAGCCUGCGUUGCUGCGAGAUUCGAUGGUGGCAGAUCAUCUGUUUCGUCUAGUGACCGUUGAACGUCCAGAGAGCAGCACCAUCCAGUCGUUGCUUAGGUCGAUCCUUCCAGACAGAACCUAAAUCAAUAACAGACAGCAUCCUUCCAAUGUUUUCACUGCGGCUGAAGGUUUCUCAUUCGUGACGUUCCUAUUAUAACUUCUCUUUCCGUUUUGGGACCAAAAUAAGUAAAAAGAAAACUAGCGCAAUAGCAAAGUUAGCUAGAGAGGAUUCCACAUGGGUUUAUUGAUCGAUCCAUUCUAGAGACCCAACCGAAUAAUAAUAUGAAUAAAAACAAAAGAAAAUCCCUUUGCAUCACUCGUACAAGAGGCAAACAUCGUUAGAAAAAAAAAAGACACAUCUGAGAAAAAACACAGUGCGAAAAGAAACUUCAGUUGGAAGAAAAACAGAGGGGCAUAUAAAGAAAUAAGUGAUAAAAGAUCGACACAUUAAUCAAGCAACAUCACGCCCUAAAUUCCAAUCAAAGACACAAAUCGAAAUACAACAGCAACCGCAAAAAUAAAACAAAAUCGGCGUUUUUUUU
Molecule: unclassified non-coding RNA, 5223 nt
Filed under: Daphnia magna
Lineage: Eukaryota; Metazoa; Arthropoda; Branchiopoda; Diplostraca; Daphniidae
Description: acetylcholine receptor subunit alpha-L1, transcript variant X3
Source: RNAcentral